This is a non-coding RNA of Oryza sativa Japonica Group (Japanese rice), 46 nucleotides long. NCBI's taxonomy places the organism in Eukaryota, Viridiplantae, Streptophyta, Magnoliopsida, Poales, Poaceae. The record is from Rfam.
CAAACGGUUUCUCUAGAAACCAACCAAUUUAUUUAUCUCUACUACG